RNAcentral lists this ribosomal RNA (1452 nucleotides) under metagenome. RNAcentral describes it as "bacterial SSU rRNA". It matches the Rfam family "Bacterial small subunit ribosomal RNA". The record is from RNAcentral.
CGCUGGCGGCGUGCUUAACACAUGCAAGUCGAACGGUAAGGCCCUUCGGGGUACACGAGUGGCGAACGGGUGAGUAACACGUGGGUGAUCUGCCCUGCACUUUGGGAUAAGCCUGGGAAACUGGGUCUAAUACCGAAUACACCCUGCUGGUCGCAUGGCCUGGUGGGGGAAAGCUUUUGCGGUGUGGAUGGGCCCGCGGCCUAUCAGCUUGUUGGUGGGGUGAUGGCCUACCAAGGCGACGACGGGUAGCCGGCCUGAGAGGGUGACCGGCCACACUGGGACUGAGAUACGGCCCAGACUCCUACGGGAGGCAGCAGUGGGGAAUAUUGCACAAUGGGCGCAAGCCUGAUGCAGCGACGCCGCGUGAGGGAUGACGGCCUUCGGGUUGUAAACCUCUUUCAAUAGGGACGAAGCGCAAGUGACGGUACCUAUAGAAGAAGGACCGGCCAACUACGUGCCAGCAGCCGCGGUAAUACGUAGGGUCCGAGCGUUGUCCGGAAUUACUGGGCGUAAAGAGCUCGUAGGUGGUUUGUCGCGUUGUUCGUGAAAACUCACAGCUUAACUGUGGGCGUGCGGGCGAUACGGGCAGACUGGAGUACUGCAGGGGAGACUGGAAUUCCUGGUGUAGCGGUGGAAUGCGCAGAUAUCAGGAGGAACACCGGUGGCGAAGGCGGGUCUCUGGGCAGUAACUGACGCUGAGGAACGAAAGCGUGGGGAGCGAACAGGAUUAGAUACCCUGGUAGUCCACGCCGUAAACGGUGGGUACUAGGUGUGGGUUUCCUUCCUUGGGAUCCGUGCCGUAGCUAACGCAUUAAGUACCCCGCCUGGGGAGUACGGCCGCAAGGCUAAAACUCAAAGAAAUUGACGGGGGCCCGCACAAGCGGCGGAGCAUGUGGAUUAAUUCGAUGCAACGCGAAGAACCUUACCUGGGUUUGACAUGCACAGGACGCCGGCAGAGAUGUCGGUUCCCUUGUGGCCUGUGUGCAGGUGGUGCAUGGCUGUCGUCAGCUCGUGUCGUGAGAUGUUGGGUUAAGUCCCGCAACGAGCGCAACCCUUGUCUCAUGUUGCCAGCACGUAAUGGUGGGGACUCGUGAGAGACUGCCGGGGUCAACUCGGAGGAAGGUGGGGAUGACGUCAAGUCAUCAUGCCCCUUAUGUCCAGGGCUUCACACAUGCUACAAUGGCCGGUACAAAGGGCUGCGAUGCCGUGAGGUGGAGCGAAUCCUUUCAAAGCCGGUCUCAGUUCGGAUCGGGGUCUGCAACUCGACCCCGUGAAGUCGGAGUCGCUAGUAAUCGCAGAUCAGCAACGCUGCGGUGAAUACGUUCCCGGGCCUUGUACACACCGCCCGUCACGUCAUGAAAGUCGGUAACACCCGAAGCCGGUGGCCUAACCCCUCGGGGAGGGAGCCGUCGAAGGUGGGAUCGGCGAUUGGGACGAAGUCGUAACAAGGUA